GCUAUAGCUCAGUUGGAUAGAGCGACCGCCUCCUAAGCGGUAGGCCGGAGGUUCAAUUCCUCUUAGC
This 67-nucleotide transfer RNA is filed under the name human gut metagenome. It matches the Rfam family "tRNA". From Rfam's summary of the family: Transfer RNA (tRNA) molecules are approximately 80 nucleotides in length. Their secondary structure includes four short double-helical elements and three loops (D, anti-codon, and T loops). Further hydrogen bonds mediate the characteristic L-shaped molecular structure. tRNAs have two regions of fundamental functional importance: the anti-codon, which is responsible for specific mRNA codon recognition, and the 3' end, to which the tRNAs corresponding amino acid is attached (by aminoacyl-tRNA synthetases). tRNAs cope with the degeneracy of the genetic code in two manners: having more than one tRNA (with a specific anti-codon) for a particular amino acid; and 'wobble' base-pairing, i.e. permitting non-standard base-pairing at the 3rd anti-codon position. The record is from RNAcentral.